GGUUCGAUUCCGGCUCGAAGGACU
RNAcentral lists this non-coding RNA (24 nucleotides) under Cricetulus griseus (Chinese hamster). Lineage: Eukaryota; Metazoa; Chordata; Mammalia; Rodentia; Cricetidae. The record is from RNAcentral. RNAcentral also lists the same sequence under 1 other name.